This 526-nucleotide unclassified non-coding RNA is filed under the name uncultured Glomeromycotina. RNAcentral describes it as "SSU rRNA". It matches the Rfam family "Eukaryotic small subunit ribosomal RNA", at positions 571 to 1092 of the family's 1831-position model. The record is from RNAcentral. Lineage: Eukaryota; Fungi; Glomeromycota.
CAGCCGCGUAAUUCCAGCUCCAAUAGCGUAUAUUAAAGUUGUUGCAGUUAAAAAGCUCGUAGUUGAAUUUCGGGAUUGACGUGAUGGUCAUGCCUUAAGGGGUAUGAACUGUUACUGUUGAUUUCUCACCUUCUGGAGAAACUUGAUGUCCUUUAUUGGGUGUCUUGCGGAUCCAGGACCUUUACCUUGAAAAAAUUAGAGUGUUUAAAGCAGGCAUUUUUGCUCGAAUACAUUAGCAUGGAAUAAUAGAAUAGGACGGCAUGGUUCUAUUUUGUUGGUUUCUAGGAUCACCGUAAUGAUUAAUAGGGAUAGUUGGGGGCAUUAGUAUUCAAUUGUCAGAGGUGAAAUUCUUGGAUUUAUUGAAGACUAACUACUGCGAAAGCAUUUGCCAAGGAUGUUUUCAUUAAUCAAGAACGAAAGUUAGGGGAUCGAAGACGAUCAGAUACCGUCGUAGUCUUAACCAUAAACUAUGCCGACUAGGAAUCAGACGAUGUUAAUUUUUUAAUGACUCGUUUGGCACCUUACG